GGUGGUGAUGAUAUAUCCUAUGUUUUGAGGUGCAGUUGGUACCAAGUUCCUGUUUACAGGAAGAACCUACUUGGUACUACUGCAUCAUAUAUGAGAUUAUUGGAUUUUCUGAGCC
Molecule: small nucleolar RNA, 115 nt
Organism: Mercurialis annua (annual mercury)
Lineage: Eukaryota; Viridiplantae; Streptophyta; Magnoliopsida; Malpighiales; Euphorbiaceae
Product: small nucleolar RNA Z278
Exons: 1
Source: RefSeq, a predicted model, not a curated record